GAGAAGAAAAAUGGUCACACUAUGAAAAGACAAGAAGGUCACAUUAGUUUGAGCAGUCGAUAAAAGAGCGGGGAGAAAAGACGAAGCGAAAUAAAACGCAACCAACGCCUAAGUACCGAUUAAGAUAAGCGAUUGUGUUUUAUCCGCAAUUCUCACGUUUCUGGACACAAUAUCUUUUAUUUCGCUCCUUGGAAGCCAAUGACCCUAGAGUUCUUAGAGUUUGUGUGAAGACGGGUGGAGACUCGUGGUGCAAGCACUGAAGUAUACUGGACAUUGGAGAAGCGACCGAACCCACAAGGAGACGGUCAUCUCGCUCGUGGGUGGACAAUAAACAUUGAAGAACACGAAGGCCAACGUGGGUGCGCACGUCAGGCAGCUGAAAAAGCGCACAUUUAUAUGUAUGUACAUAUGCGAGAUAUUGCAAAUACUGCCAUCUCGCUCUAUCCAACGAAGUUCUUACGGGCCAGCAACUAGAGGCUUGGGUGCGCAGUUGGCUGAUGAAAUCGAGUGAAAAUUUCUGGAUUCUGGUUUAUUUGGUAAGUGCCAAUUUGAUUGUUGAUUUGGGAAAAGGUACAUCUGCGGGUGAUGAUUACCAGAGCAAUGAGCAACGGAUGAAAUGGACGAGGAAACGUUUGAGAUGGGAAAAGUGGAAGGAGAAUCCGCGCAAGGUGAAGUCUCAAAUAUGGAGAGGGCCUGGGCCGGCACAUCAAAAGAAGCCCAAUGUGGCGCCAAAUGCAAGAAGGUCAGAGAGCCAAUGCAAAGCAAAUGCAGCAGUUCCAAAUGGAAGUUCUGUGGAUGAAUCAAAUUCAAAUGAAAAAACUAAUAUACUUCUGCGAUCCCUUGGUAUUAGUGGAAGGACAACUGGCGGACCAGGACCACAA
Molecule: long non-coding RNA, 881 nt
Organism: Drosophila miranda
Lineage: Eukaryota; Metazoa; Arthropoda; Insecta; Diptera; Drosophilidae
Exons: 2
Source: RefSeq, a predicted model, not a curated record